AAUCAACGCUGGCGGCGUGCCUAACACAUGCAAGUCGAACGCGAGAGGGGCUUCGGCCCCGAUUGAGUGGCGAACGGGUGAGUAACGCGUGGGUGACCUACCUUCGAGUGGGGGAGUAACGUCCCGAAAGGGACGCUAAUACCGCAUAACAUCCUGCUUUUGUAAUGGGUGGAGAUCAAAGCCGGGGAUCGCAAGACCUGGCGCUUGAUGAGGGGCCCGCGUCUGAUUAGCAGUUGGUGAGGUAACGGCCCACCAAGGCAACGAUCAGUAUCCGGCCUGAGAGGGCGGACGGACACACUGGGACUGAGACACGGCCCAGACUCCUACGGGAGGCAGCAGUGGGAAUUGUUCGCAAUGGGCGCAAGCCUGACGACGCAACGCCGCGUGGAGGAUGAAGGUCUUCGGAUUGUAAACUCUGUUGCCCGGGCGAAUGGCUCCGACCUAACACGUCGGAGUGUGACGGUACCGGGUGAGGAAGCCCGGCUAACUCUGUGCCAGCAGCCGCC
This 506-nucleotide ribosomal RNA is filed under the name uncultured bacterium. Its description in RNAcentral is "bacterial SSU rRNA". It matches the Rfam family "Bacterial small subunit ribosomal RNA", at positions 28 to 519 of the family's 1533-position model. The record is from RNAcentral.